This 299-nucleotide ribosomal RNA is filed under the name uncultured bacterium. RNAcentral's name for it is "partial 16S ribosomal RNA". It matches the Rfam family "Bacterial small subunit ribosomal RNA", at positions 30 to 319 of the family's 1533-position model. The record is from RNAcentral.
AUUGAACGCUGGCGGCAUGCCUUACACAUGCAAGUCGAACGGCAGCACGGGGGCGAACCCUCGGUGGCGAGUGGCGAACGGGUGAGUAAUGCAUCGGAACGUGCCCAGUAGUGGGGGAGUAACUAGUCGAAAGAUUAGCUAAUACCGCAUACGACCUAUGGGUGGAAAGCGGGGGAGUUCGCAAGAACCUCGCGCUAUCGGAGCGGCCGAUGUCUGAUUAGCUAGUUGGCGGGGUAAAGGGACCCACCCAAGGCUUCGAUCAGUAGCUGGUCUGAGAGGACGACCAGCCACACUGGGAC